AUAGGGCGCAUAAGUAACAGGUCGUAGACCCGAAACCAGGUGAUCUACCCAUGUCCAGGAUGAAGGUAAGGUAAUACUUACUGGAGGUCCGAACCCACGCACGUUGAAAAGUGCGGGGAUGAGGUGUGGGUAGCGGAGAAAUUCCAAUCGAACUUGGAGAUAGCUGGUUCUCUCCGAAAUAGCUUUAGGGCUAGCCUCGAGGUAAAGAGUCAUGGAGGUAGAGCACUGUUUGGACUAGGGGCCCUUCUCGGGUUACCGAAUUCAGAUAAACUCCGAAUGCCAUGUACUUAUACUCGGGAGUCAGACUGCGAGUGAUAAGAUCCGUAGUCGAAAGGGAAACAGCCCAGACCACCAGUUAAGGUCCCCAAAUAUAUGUUAAGUGGAAAAGGAUGUGGGGUUGCUUAGACAACCAGGAUGUUGGCUUAGAAGCAGCCACCAUUGAAAGAGUGCGUAAUAGCUCACUGGUCGAGUGACCCCGCGCCGAAAAUGUACCGGGGCUAAACAUAUUACCGAAACUGUGGAUGAACCUCUUUAGAGGUUCGUGGUAGGAGAGCGUUCUAAGGGCGGUGAAGUCAGACCGGAAGGACUGGUGGAGCGCUUAGAAGUGAGAAUGCCGGUAUGAGUAGCGAAAGAAGGGUGAGAAUCCCUUCCACCGAAUAUCUAAGGUUUCCUGAGGAAGGCUCGUCCGCUCAGGGUUAGUCGGGACCUAAGCCGAGGCCGAUAGGCGUAGGCGAUGGACAACAGGUAGAGAUUCCUGUACCAGUGCUAAUUGUUUAACCGAUGGGGUGACACAGAAGGAUAGGGAAUCGCACGAAUGGAAAUGUGCGUCCAAGCAGUGAGUGUGAGAAGUAGGCAAAUCCGCUUCUCGCGAAGCAUGAGCUGUGAUGGGGAAGGAAAUUAAGUACGGAAGUUCCUGAUUUCACGCUGUCAAGAAAAGCCUCUAGGAAGAGUAGUACUGCCCGUACCGCAAACCGACACAGGUAGAUGAGGAGAGAAUCCUAAGGUGAGCGAGAGAACUCUCGUUAAGGAACUCGGCAAAAUGACCCCGUAACUUCGGGAGAAGGGGUGCUCUAUUAGGGUGCAAGCCCGAGAGAGCCGCAGUGAAUAGGCCCAGGCGACUGUUUAGCAAAAACACAGGUCUCUGCAAAACCGUAAGGUGACGUAUAGGGGCUGACGCCUGCCCGGUGCUGGAAGGUUAAGAGGAGUGCUUAGCUUCGGCGAAGGUACGAAUUGAAGCCCCAGUAAACGGCGGCCGUAACUAUAACGGUCCUAAGGUAGCGAAAUUCCUUGUCGGGUAAGUUCCGACCCGCACGAAAGGCGCAACGAUCUGGGCACUGUCUCAACGAGAGACUCGGUGAAAUUAUAGUACCUGUGAAGAUGCAGGUUACCCGCGACAGGACGGAAAGACCCCGUGGAGCUUUACUGCAACCUGAUAUGGAAUGUUUGUACCGCUUGUACAGGAUAGGUAGGAGCCGAAGAGACGUGUGCGCUAGCAUACGAGGAGGCAAUGGUGGGAUACUACCCUGGCUGUAUGACCAUUCUAACCCGCCACGCUUAGCGCGUGGGGAGACAGUGUCAGGUGGGCAGUUUGACUGGGGCGGUCGCCUCCUAAAGAGUAACGGAGGCGCCCAAAGGUUCCCUCAGAAUGGAUGGAAAUCAUUCGCAGAGUGUAAAGGCACAAGGGAGCUUGACUGCGAGACUGACAAGUCGAGCAGGGACGAAAGUCGGGCUUAGUGAUCCGGUGGUUCCGCAUGGAAGGGCCAUCGCUCAACGGAUAAAAGCUACCCCGGGGAUAACAGGCUUAUCUCCCCCAAGAGUCCACAUCGACGGGGAGGUUUGGCACCUCGAUGUCGGCUCGUCGCAUCCUGGGGCUGUAGUCGGUCCCAAGGGUUGGGCUGUUCGCCCAUUAAAGCGGCACGCGAGCUGGGUUCAGAACGUCGUGAGACAGUUCGGUCCCUAUCCGUCGCGGGCGCAGGAAAUUUGAGAGGAGCUGUCCUUAGUACGAGAGGACCGGGAUGGACACACCGCUGGUGUACCAGUUGUUCCGCCAGGAGCAUCGCUGGGUAGCUAUGUGUGGCAGGGAUAAACGCUGAAAGCAUCUAAGCGUGAAGCCCCCCUCAAGAUGAGAUUUCCCAUUUCUUCGGAAAGUAAGAUCCCUGAAAGAUGAUCAGGUAGAUAGGUUUGGAGUGGAAGUGUAGCGAUACAUGGAGCGGACAAAUACUAAUCGAUCGAGGACUUAACCAA
This 2244-nucleotide ribosomal RNA is filed under the name Listeria monocytogenes. Its description in RNAcentral is "partial 23S ribosomal RNA". It matches the Rfam family "Bacterial large subunit ribosomal RNA", at positions 687 to 2925 of the family's 2925-position model. The record is from RNAcentral. Lineage: Bacteria; Bacillati; Bacillota; Bacilli; Caryophanales; Listeriaceae.